UCCUGAAACAAACAAACAAACAAACAGAGUGAAACAUCAGCGGCUUCGUCCCCGUAAGCUGUUUGUUCUGACCACUGAAGGUAAUGAGGCAGAAGCCUUUAAUGGACUUGUUUGUCACAGCCGGCCUCAUCGCAGUUGAAACACUGUUUACACUGCAGCAGGCUUAACAACACUUUCUUUGUGUGGCGGGCCAAACAGGACUAACUUCCCAGAUGCAGUCUACUAGUUUGGAGUAUCUCAUGAGGACCUGGACGAGGCCUUCCUGUCGGACAUGCUCCUGCUAAACAGAGUAACAGGAUCUUCCUCAACAAUCAGACCAAACCUUAACAAAAACAUUCCAGGAAUUCCAGGUUUUUCACCAUCUGACAGCUGACAUUUCCUUUACAUAUGUUUACCUCAAGCUUCUCUCCAAUGAAAAUCUGCUUCUUUGUGAAGAACGAUUGUUACAUUUAUGUGUUUUUCUGAAGGGUAAACGUGUUUUAUCUGGGAAAUAACAGGUCCAAGCUUUGUGGAUGGAGGUUUCUACAACAGAUACAGACUCACGUUUGAGUUCCUCAAGAUAAAGUUAUUCUAAAACAAACCCUUCAGUGGAGUCUGAAGUCAAACCAAUCGUCUGCACUCGAGCUGGAUGAUAUGCACGUCUCUGAGUUUGGGAUAAUGUUACAGCUUUCAAAACAUCCUGGAGAAGCACUUCUCCAAAUGUCAGGUUGGGUGGGCAUUCCUACUUGUGUAAGCAUGCUUUGAAUGUGAUCCUUGAACUGGGGUGCCGCAUGCGCAUGUGAGCACUUGUAUGCAGGAAGACUACCUGGAUGCUGUAGUAUGGGUUUCCACCUGCGAGCUUCUUGUGUGUGCUGACGGUUAGUUGUCAGCGUACUCAAUCCGGUUAGUGACGCUUCAAAGUCUGCUCAUUCUCAUU
This is a long non-coding RNA of Labrus mixtus (cuckoo wrasse), 916 nucleotides long. RefSeq lists it as uncharacterized. Lineage: Eukaryota; Metazoa; Chordata; Actinopteri; Labriformes; Labridae. The transcript is spliced from 5 exons. The record is from RefSeq and is a predicted model, not a curated record.